RNAcentral lists this ribosomal RNA (2892 nucleotides) under Solanum lycopersicum (tomato). RNAcentral describes it as "bacterial LSU rRNA". The stretch from base 620 to 2879 matches the Rfam family "Eukaryotic large subunit ribosomal RNA". The record is from RNAcentral. Lineage: Eukaryota; Viridiplantae; Streptophyta; Magnoliopsida; Solanales; Solanaceae.
UUGGGCAGCACAGACGGUCGGAAGGCGUCGGGCGUGGCAUGCCAUAAUCGCACUUCGAUAGCACAGACGGUCGGCCGUCGUCGAGAGUGGCAUUCCGUCAUAGCCCUUGGACAGCACAAACGGUCGAUCAUUGUCGGACGUGCCUACACACAACGGUCGGUCGUGGCCGUCCCGCAUAGAUCGUGGCUUGCGCAACAUUGUUCGAUAACUAGACGAAACAUGCGGAUGUUCAUGACGUACAUGAAUCAAAGGAUUUUGAAACAACCUCCAUGCAUAUCAAACAUAUUCAUCGACUUUUUUUAUCUAUUCUCUAACGUUUCCACCUAACGUGGCUCUUUCACAUCAUUUUCAUUACUUCUACGGUGUUCGUAUGAUAUUGAAACAUCGUUUAUUUGUGCAAAGAUAUAUCUUAUCAUUAAUUAUACAUGUUUAGAAGUGUUUUCGAGCAUUUCCAUAUUUUUCCAACUAUUAAUCAUUAUUUUAUAAUUUAUUUUUACGCUUUUAAAUUUUUUACAUUCUCCUUUUAAAAAUAAAAACUUAAUAAAUUUUUUAUUUUAAGGUUCCCAUAUUUAUUUGUGAAUUUUCGGAGUUGAUUUCAUAUUUUAUUCGAUAUUUUCCCUAUUUUUUAUUAAUUUAUUACUAAUUUUUUGCAUAUUCCAAAAAAAAUAAAAAAAAGUUGAAAAAUAUUUUAUAUAUAUUAAAGUCAUUUGUGAAAGCAUAUGUGUGUUUGUACCUUAGAACGUGCAUAUUUGGGUUGUCUGGAAAAUCAAUGUCUACUCCUGUCACAUGGGUAAAACUUUUUUAAGCAUAUAUAAGGGGGGGGAGGGGGUAGAGGUGUUGGAUGCAGACUGAGGCAUAAGAAGGCAGACGACAUAGGCGUCCUUUGGGCUUAGUAGGCGUGCUACAUGGGCGCUUGACGACAUGCGUGGCUUGUCCGUGCUAUGCCGUUGGGCGUCGACAAAAACAUGCCAGCGACGUCUGUGGGGCAACUGAGGCGAAAGCAGGCGGACGUCAAGGGUGUCCUGUGGGCUUAGUAGGCGUGUUGUGUGGGCGCUUGACGGCAUGGAUGGCUCGUCUAUGCUUCGUCGUUGGGCUCUUACAAAAACAGGCCACCGACGUCUGCGGGGAGACCGUGCUCCGCCGAGGGAACUUCUCAAGAUUGGUUUAUACUAGCGUUUGGUGUGGAAACUGUAUCGCUUUCGUAUGAGUGGCGAGUUCUAGAGCUCUUGUUACAGCUAACUCUAGGCGUCGCACGCAUGGCGCACGUAAGGCCAUGUACGGCCACAGGGCUGUCCAGAGACGUCGACGGGAGCCUCGGGAAGAGUUAUCUAUUAUGUUUAACAGCCUGCCCACCCUGGAAUCGGCUCUGCCAAAGGUAGGGUCCAGCUGCUGGAAGAGCACCGCACGUCGCGUGGUGUACGGUGCGCUCCCGGCGGACCUUGAAAAUCUGGAGACCGAAUGUCGUCCACGCUGGGUCGUACUCGUAACCGCAUCAGGUCUCCAAGGUGAACAACCUCUGGUCGAUGAAACAAUGUAGGAAAGGGAAGUGUGCAAAGUGGAUCCGUAACUUCGGGAAAAGGAUUUGCUCUGAGGGAUGGGCACGUGGAUCCCAGUCCCGAACCCGUUGUUGGAUUGCUCGAGUUGCUCUCGCGGCGAGAGCGGGUCGCCGCGUGCCGUAUUGGGGACGGACAAGGGGAAUCCCACUGUUUAAUUAAAACAAAGCAUUGUGAUGGUCCCAAAGGAUGUUUACGCAAUGUGAUUUCUGCCCAGUGCUCUGAAUGUCAAAGUGAAGAAAUUCAACCAAGCGCGGUUAACGGCAGGAGUAACUAUGACUCUCUUAAGGUAGACAAAUGCCUCGUCAUCAAAUUAGUGACGCGCAUGAAUGGAUUAACGAGAUUCCCUCUGUGCCUGUCUACUAUCCAACAAAAGCAAAACAUAUAGAACGGGCUUAGCAGAAUUAGUGGGGAAAGAAGACCCUUUUGAGCUUGACUCUAGUUUGACUUUGUCAAAUGACUUGAGAGGUGUAGUAUAAGUGGGAGCCGAAAGGCGUAAGUGAAAUACCACUUUUUUUAAUGUUAUUUUACUUAUUCCGUGAAUCGGAAGCGGGGCACUGACCCUCUUUUUGGACCCAAGUCUCGCUUUGCGGGCCGAUCCGGGAAGGAGACAUUGUCAGGUGGGGAGUUUUGCUAGGGCGGCACAUGUGUUAAAAGAUAACGCAAGUGUCCUAAGAUGAGCUCAACGUGAAAAGAAAUCUCGUGUGUAAUAGAAAGGUAAAAGCUCGUUAUAUUCUAAUUUCCUGUACGAAUACGAACCGUGAAAGAGUUGCCUAACGAUCCUUUAGACCUUUGGAAUUCAAAGCUAGAGCUUUUUAGAAAAGUUACCACAGGGAUAAUUGGCUUGUGGCAGCCAAGCGUUCACAGCGACGUUGCUUUUUUAUCCUUCGAUGUCGGCUCUUUUGGUCACUGUGAAGCAUAAUUCACCAAAUGUUUGAUUGUUCACCCACCAAUAGGGAACGUGAGCUGGAUUUAGACCGUCGUGAGACAGGUUAAUUUUACCUUUGAAAAGCCAAUGGCGUGAAGCUACCGUGUGCUGGAUUAUGACUGAACACCUUUAAAUCAGAAUCUGGACUAGAAGCGACGCAUGUGCCCGCCUUCCGCUUGCCGACCGGCAGUAGGGGCCUAUGGCCCCCAUAGGCACGUGUCGUUGGCUAAGUCUCCUCAACAUAAGCGUCGUAGUGACCACCUUGAAGUACAAUUUCCAUGGAGCAGCGGGUAGAAUCCUUUGCAAACGACUUAAAUAAGCGACAGGGUAUUGUAAGUGGCAGAGUGGCCUUACUGCCACGAUCCACUGAGAUUCAGCCCUUUGUCGCUCCUAUUCGUCCCCCCCACACUC